GUCCGGAUUGGAGUCUGCAACUCGACUCCAUGAAGUCGGAAUCGCUAGUAAUCGUGGAUCAGAAUGCCACGGUGAAUACGUUCCCGGGCCUUGUACACACCGCCCGUCACACCAUGGGAGUGGGUUGCAAAAGAAGUAGGUAGCUUAACCUUCGGGAGGGCGCUUACCACUUUGUGAUUCAUGACUGGGGUGAAGUCGUAACAAGGUAACCGUAGGGGAACCUGCGGUUGGAUCACCUCCUUACCUUAAAGAA
Molecule: ribosomal RNA, 253 nt
Filed under: Enterobacter cloacae subsp. cloacae
Lineage: Bacteria; Pseudomonadati; Pseudomonadota; Gammaproteobacteria; Enterobacterales; Enterobacteriaceae
Description: partial 16S ribosomal RNA
Rfam family: Bacterial small subunit ribosomal RNA
Source: RNAcentral